This 270-nucleotide ribosomal RNA is filed under the name uncultured bacterium. RNAcentral describes it as "partial 16S ribosomal RNA". It matches the Rfam family "Bacterial small subunit ribosomal RNA", at positions 793 to 1055 of the family's 1533-position model. The record is from RNAcentral.
GUCCACGCUGUAAACGAUGACGACUAGGUGUGGGGUGGUUCAGUCCACUCCGUGCCGCAGCUAACGCAUUAAGUCGUCCGCCUGGGGGAGUACGGCCGCAAGGUUGAAACUCAAAGGAAUUGACGGGGGCCCGCACAAGCGGUGGAGCAUGUGGUUCAAUUCGAUGCAGAGCGAAGAACCUUACCUGGGCUUGACAUGUGGGAAGUAGGACCCUGAAAGGGGAACGACCUGUUGAGUCAGGAGCCUACACAGGUGGUGCAUGGCUGUCGU